Molecule: non-coding RNA, 215 nt
Filed under: Andreesenella acetica
Lineage: Bacteria; Bacillati; Bacillota; Clostridia; Peptostreptococcales; Natronincolaceae
Description: Clostridium aceticum T-box sequence
Rfam family: T-box leader
About the family: Uncharged tRNA acts as the effector for transcription antitermination of genes in the T-box leader family. T-boxes are found upstream of many aminoacyl-tRNA synthetase genes and some amino acid biosynthetic genes usually in Gram-positive bacteria. The anticodon of a specific tRNA base pairs to a specifier sequence within the T-box motif, and the NCCA acceptor tail of the tRNA base pairs to a conserved bulge in the T-box antiterminator hairpin.
Source: RNAcentral
UCCUAUGCUAUGAUAGGGAAUAGUAAAGAAACAAAGCUUUUUUAGAGAAAAAACCCUAGGCUGGAAGGUUUUUAAGUAAUGUUUUUUGAACCCGCCCUUGAGCUGUUAACUGAAAAAUUAGUAGGUUAUACCGGUGGACGCCGUUAAGUCAUGAAGGGAACUGUAAUGGUUAACUAGAGUGGUACCGCGGGGAAAGUAAAUCUCUCGUCUCUAAA